AUGACUGCACAGCCAUUAAGGAUCAAAUCAGUUUCUGAAAAAUGUUCUGUUUUUCCUCCCUCUGCUUGCUUCUUACUGUCUUUGAGGCUCGGGACCAGCACUCCUGCUGUUGGACAGAAAGACAUCAACUUGAGAUAUGACUGCACUAUGCUGUUGCUGGUGACCACAGUUAAUUCUACAAGACAUGCUGUGACACCAGGAGAGAUGAGUCCUCCGUCACAGAUGGUGUGGUCAGUGAAGAUGGUCGCCUGCAGGUUCAAGCUCAUUGCAUCUCCAACCCACAUCCACUGCCACUGUACUUAAGGGAAGUUAAAGACUUUCUUCUGCACCUACAUUUGGAUCACCUCGAUCCAUGACAGUCAUUCAGGCAGUAAUGCCUGGACUGGAAACAAGCAUCCUUAAAAUAAUACAACAUUCCAGCUCAUGUGUUGGAAUGAAAAACAAAUGUGUUGUUUAAAUUAGAGACUGCACUUGUGACAGAACAAUAAAUAUUUUAUUUUGAUUAUAUAAGUAAUGUAAGUACAAAACAAACUUGUGGUAGGCCUAAACUUAUUUUCAGAAUAAUUACAUCUGAGACUUUGUUUCAUUGUAAGAUUAUAACAGUGAUGGCAAUAUAAUUGUUUGUUGUUCAGCAGAACAGUGUCCAGUAUGUUGGCUGUUAUACUUUGUUGUGUUUGAAAAUAAAAGUUGGGCUGAUUUUAACAUCAUCACAAAAAGUGUUGUUAAUUAUUUUUAGUCAUAUUCAGGUUACCACAAAUUGUUUUUUCAUUUAGUUGAACUUGAAAUAUUUGUCAGUAGGUAAACAAUUAGUAUUGUACAGUCAGAAAUAUCAAGUUAUUCUUAAUACUGCAGACUUGCAAUGUAUAAGUUGUCCUAACAGUCAUCUUAAGUAAGCUUUACUUAGUUUUUUAGAGGCAACGAGUUUGCAUUUUUUUUUUUAGUUCUGUGAACUAAUUAGAUUUUACAGUGUGACACAGACAGCCAUUCACACAUUCACAUCAGUUAACCGAACCCCACUCACUGCAUGUCUGUGGGAGGAAGCCGGAGUACCCAGGAGAACUCACACAAACACGGAGAGAGCAUGAGAACUCCACACAGACCCCGCCGCCACCAUGGACCUGAACUCAGGAGCAUGUUGCUGUGAGGCAACUGUGCUAACUGCUUUUAUUACAGGGAUGGGCUUUCCGAGCAUGUGUAGGAAUAUUCUGUGGUGCACGGUCAUCCACAACCAGAGAGCUCGUGGCUCCAUCCUGUCAACAUGAUAAUGCAAGAUACUGAACCCCUUCUACAUCUGUGUGUGUGUGUGUGUGUGUGUGCGUGUGUGUGUGUGUGUGUGUGUUAGUUACAGCAGUUAAAGGCACUGGAUAAAACGUUCUAUAAAAAGCUGAAUGUGAAAAUAGAAAACAAUAGAAAAGAAGCAGCUGCUUCCUUCCAGCUGUCAGUUUGAGCUGCUGCUUGUGGAGAACAAACGCUCCACGCCGCUGUUCAUUUCUGCAGCUGUAAACAGAAAUUCUAGAGUUUGCAGGCCUUCACUGGGAAACAGGCAAGAACUACAGUUGGAGUUAAUCAGUUGAUGGACCUGUAGCCCUGGCACAAAUGUAAGUUGUAAAGUCAAAACUUUUCUACUUCGUACAACACGCCUCAUUCUUACAGGCACUUUCUUCUUUAUGUAAAUGUUUUCUGUUUAACAUCACACACUGAUGGAUGCAUCAGAGUGACAUGUGGUUAGUAUCUGGCCCAAAGGUAUUUGGGAUGCAAACUGGAGUAGCCAGGAAUUGAACCACAAACCUUCCAGUCUGCUCUCCCUCCUGAGCUGCAUCCACCCUGUGUGUGUGUCAGUGUGCACGCGGGUGCACGGAGAUUUCUCUCUGCAACAUGAUCAGUGCACAUAAACAGCCUCAUUCUGCUGACAGUCGCAAAAAGACUGACGACAUGAAAACACACACACGUGCACACACACACCCUGGAGUUACUCGUCCUGCUGCUUUAUUGAUUCGGAGACGACACCAGAGUCUCUGUCAUGGAUCUGCUGCUCGCCUGGUUUGCUCAUAGAGAAAGAGGCAGAGAGACCCCCAGAGGCUCUGAGGCUGACUGGGAGCUGUGUGCAAAACCACACAAACCCAGUAACUGCUGCAUCUCACAGUCUGAACUGAAAGCAAGAAUAAACUCGUACCCAUUUUUAAAAGCUUCAAGCGACGACUGCAUCAUCCCCAAAUACAGAUGUGAUGUAGACUUUUACUUUGCUGCUGUUACCUUCCUCAAUGUGACCACAUGAGCUGCUGUAAAUCCUGGAGGCUGACACAUCAGGCAAAUAUUGUAUAUUAUAAAUAUAAAUAUAUAAAUAUAAUAUAAAAGUAAAUAAAUGUAUUAUUAAAUAUUGUGUUUUAUUCAAAAAGUGAUGUCGUUCAGUUAAUGUUAGGUUAGGGUGCGUGGAUCGUCAACCCCGUGUUUUGUGUUUUUGCUUCUUUGAUUUUGUUUAUUUCAUUAUAUUCUAACUUUCUUUGUCUUAUGGGUUAUUGGAUUAUUCUAAGUUUAGGUUCUCUGUGUGGGUUUUGUUAGAGCUUAGUCUUCUGGGUUUCUCCCCUGUCUGCUGUAUCCAUCUCAUGGCUGAAUACGUCUUCAGCCAUGUAAAUAUGAAAGUCUCCCUGAGAUCAGCCAAGAACAGCUCAUGAUUCAGCAGCCUGUGAGCCUUUAGCAGCAGUAAUGUGUCAGGGUCACUUCAUCAGUCUGUCACAUUAUUA
Oreochromis niloticus (Nile tilapia) is the source of this 2741-nucleotide long non-coding RNA. NCBI's taxonomy places the organism in Eukaryota, Metazoa, Chordata, Actinopteri, Cichliformes, Cichlidae. The record is from Ensembl.